This is a long non-coding RNA of Solanum tuberosum (potato), 538 nucleotides long. RefSeq lists it as uncharacterized. The record is from RefSeq and is a predicted model, not a curated record. The transcript is spliced from 3 exons. NCBI's taxonomy places the organism in Eukaryota, Viridiplantae, Streptophyta, Magnoliopsida, Solanales, Solanaceae.
CUAAAAUGAAAAUCUCUGUGUGGUUGUAUAUAAAUAUUCUUGUUAUAGUAUUUCUUUACAACAAACAUAUAUUUAUCUCAGUGAGAUAUUGUGAAGAAGUUUGGAAUUAAGGAUGAGUGAGCCACCAAAGUAUGCACAUCCCUACCCUGCUCAAGGUUAUUAUCAAGGUCCUCCAGUGAUGCCUCCACCACCUCAAUAUUAUUAUGCAGCUCCUCCUCCAAGAAGGGAACCUGGCUUUCUUGAGGGAUGUCUGGCAGCUUUGUGUUGCUGUUUCCUGAUUGAUGAGUGUUGCUGUGACCCUUCUAUCCUCUUCAUCUGUUGAUAAACUAUUAUUAGAUCUCUCAGAAUGUUAGUCCUUGUUCGUUGCUUCAAAGUUGGUUGUCUCGUGUUUUUAUCAUAUUUGAGUUUUAAUUUUGUCUAAUAUAAAUCUCUCUUUUAUAUUUGGUUUUUUUUUUUAGAAGAAAAGUUUGAAUUUUUAUAAAUUAAAGAUCAUUCUUCUCAUAUCAUAAUAUAUGCAAUAUCAUUCAUUAGUCGAUUA